CAGGCUACAUUACUUCGAGUUCGAAUCAUUCACUCGACGACUAAAGCCUAAGGGCUACUUUUAUUUCGAGUUCGAGCAAGCACUCACUCGACCAUUACACCCACGGGCUACAUUACUUCGAGUUCGAAUCAUUCACUCGAUGACUAAAGCCUACGGGCUACUUUUAUUUCGAGUUCGAGCAAGCACUCACUCGACCAUUAUGCCCACGGGCUACAUUACUUCGAGUUCGAAUCAUUCACUCGACGACUAAGCCUACAGGCUACUUUUAUUUCGAGUUCGAGCAAGCACUCACUCGACCAUUACGCCC
This 307-nucleotide long non-coding RNA is filed under the name Nicotiana tabacum (common tobacco). Its description in RNAcentral is "long non-coding RNA (NTAB_LNC012194)". Lineage: Eukaryota; Viridiplantae; Streptophyta; Magnoliopsida; Solanales; Solanaceae. The record is from RNAcentral.